Molecule: ribosomal RNA, 460 nt
Filed under: uncultured bacterium
Lineage: Bacteria
Description: partial 16S ribosomal RNA
Rfam family: Bacterial small subunit ribosomal RNA
Source: RNAcentral
CCUACGGGUGACAGCAGUGAGGAAUAUUGGUCAAUGGGCUUACGCCUGAACCAGCCAAGUCGCGUGGGGGAAGACUGCCCUAUGGGUUGUAAACCUCUUUUGUCAGGGAGCAACGCCGGCUACGUGUAGCCGGACUGAGAGUACCUGAAGAAAAAGCAUCGGCUAACUCCGUGCCAGCAGACGCGGUAAUACGGAGGAUGCGAGCGUUAUCCGGAUUGAUUGGGUUUAAAGGGUGCGUAGGCGGAAUGCCAAGUCAGCGGUAAAAUCGCGGGGCUCAACCUCGCUCCGCCGUUGAAACUGGCGUUCUUGAGUGGGCGAGAAGUAUGCGGAAUGCGUGGUGUAGCGGUGAAAUGCAUAGAUAUCACGCAGAACUCCGAUUGCGAAGGCAGCAUACCGGCGCCCAACUGACGCUGAAGCACGAAAGCGUGGGUAUCGAACAGGAUUAGAUACCCCUGUAGUC